Crotalus tigris (Tiger rattlesnake) is the source of this 1729-nucleotide long non-coding RNA. RefSeq lists it as uncharacterized. NCBI's taxonomy places the organism in Eukaryota, Metazoa, Chordata, Lepidosauria, Squamata, Viperidae. The record is from RefSeq and is a predicted model, not a curated record. The transcript is spliced from 3 exons.
UUCACUGAGGAAGAAAGAAAAAGUAUUUUAAUACUAUUAAUAGUAUUUUAUCCCAUAAUUUAAGCGUUAUAAUGAACUUUGUGGUUCAACGCAAAUUAAAAACCACACCUAUAGAUAUUCUACCUUUAGUAUUAUUACCAAUUCUCAACCCAACAUUGGGUUUUGACAGAUUCUGUCAUUGGAACCUUGGAGGAGAGUAAUCCAAUUGUUCUGUCCAUUAUAAAUAAAUUCAGCCAAGUGAUUUCAACAGUUCUGCUUCAAUAAAAAACUUUAUUAGUAGCAUUAGUUACUACAUGGCUAUAAAAGCAUUCCAGUACAAUAUUUUAAAAUAUAAUCCAGUUUUAUAUAUUUUUCAUGGAAACAGAAUUUAUAUUUUUUUUAAAAAAGGGGGGGGGUGAAGUAGAGAGCCAUCAUACAGAAUCCAUUGUAAAGACGACCUUUACUUUAAAUGAACAUAGGUACAGGUGGUCCUUAAAUUAACUAGGUUAAUUAGGAGUGCAAUUUCUACUGCUAAGCAAUGCAAUUGUAAAGUGCAAUAUUAUGUACUUAAGCAGCCACAAUUUCAGCAGUCUCAUUGCUGUUGUUAAAGGAGGACUCCCUUGCAAUUUCCUGCCUGCUUCCAACAAGCAAAAUUCAUGGGAAAGCUGUCAAGCAGGCUGGCGGAAAUACCGAAUCCUGGGCAAGCUGUCAAGCAGGCUGGCGGGCAGGUAACAUGACUGCUGUAGCAUAGUAUGAGAGUGACUGAACGGCAGAUGGCUGCUGCAGGGUGCAGAAAGUGCACAAGGUGAAUUCAGCCAUGUGAGCAUGCUACAGAGUGCAUGGAAAGGGGAUGCUGCAGUCAGGUACACACUAGGGUGUAUAACAGAGGUCCCCAACCCCCAAUCCAUGGACCGGCAGCGGGCCGUGGCAUGCCAGAAACUGGGCCACGUAAACAAGUGAAGCCCCAUCUGGGGAAUGCAGGCAGCACACAAAACCAUGUUCCCUCCAGUCCAUGGAAAAACCUCUCUCCACGAAACCGGUCCCUGAUGCCCAAAAGAUUUGGGGGCCACUGGUAUAUGAGAUCCCUGGGACUGUGUACUCUAUUGGUGGGUUCCUCAGGAGAAAAAGCAGCAGAAGUGGGAGUGAACUUGCAACCUUCCCUAGCAGCUUCCCCCACUGAGUUUGCUUGUCAGAAGCUGGCAGGGAAGGUCACAAAUGGCAAGCAGGUUCUCACGGGCCCGGUUUAUGCUCACAUGAUUGCAGGAGUGCAGAGACGACCAGUCGUAAGUUCCACUUAUUCAACAUUACAGUAACUUCGAACAGACACUGAAGGAAUGGUCAUUAAUCAAGGACUAUUUAUAGCAUGUAUGCAAUUCUUACUUUGAAUUGCAGCAGAGGAACUGGUAAACUGUCAAAAUAUUGUGAUAGAAUUUGAACUUUCCAAUGAAAACACAUUAUUUUCAGAUCUCAUCUGUUCAAAGACUGGCUUGGAUUCUGAGUUGCCUUCUAUAAAAUAAAUAUUAUUUCAAGCGAGAGUUCCAACUACUCAAAGAAGAUAAAGAAUUAUUCCAUGAGUAGAAUCUGAAUGAGUGAAGCCAGAUCUGCUCCUACAAGUGCUUUAUUUUGGAAUGAUCACAGUAUCUCUCUUGCCAGAAUAUCAAAUAACCCAUCUUCUGAGAUGUGGUAAGUUGCUGGUGGAUACAACUCUGGAACAUGAUAUACAGAUACAAACUGGUUAGGAUUAACUCUG